Rhipicephalus sanguineus (brown dog tick) is the source of this 73-nucleotide non-coding RNA. The record is from the annotation of a RefSeq genome assembly. Lineage: Eukaryota; Metazoa; Arthropoda; Arachnida; Ixodida; Ixodidae.
GCCACUGUAGCUCAGUUGGUAUAGCGUUGGAUGUGUUAUCCAAGGGUUGUAGGUUCGGUCCCUACCAGUGGCA